This 157-nucleotide unclassified non-coding RNA is filed under the name uncultured Scleropezicula. RNAcentral describes it as "sequence contains ITS1". Lineage: Eukaryota; Fungi; Ascomycota; Leotiomycetes; Helotiales; Dermateaceae. The record is from RNAcentral.
CAGAGAUCAUGCCCUCACGGGUAGACCUCCCACCCUGUGUUAUUUACUCUUGUUGCUUUGGCAGGCCGCCUUCGGGCUCUCGGCUCCGGCUGAGGUGCGCCUGCCAGAGGACCCCAACUCUGUGUUUAGUGUCAUCUGAGUACUAUAUAAUAAGUUA